GACUGGUCCGUGCAGUGGUGUUUAAAACUAAUUGAUCACAAUCAGUUAUAGAUUUCUUUGUUUUUAUCUUCUCUCACUGCUUCACUUGAUUAGCCUUAA
Molecule: Y RNA, 99 nt
Filed under: Carlito syrichta (Philippine tarsier)
Lineage: Eukaryota; Metazoa; Chordata; Mammalia; Primates; Tarsiidae
Description: Y RNA (ENSTSYG00000036508.1)
Rfam family: Y RNA
About the family: Y RNAs are components of the Ro ribonucleoprotein particle (Ro RNP), in association with Ro60 and La proteins. The Y RNAs and Ro60 and La proteins are well conserved, but the function of the Ro RNP is not known.
Source: Rfam by way of RNAcentral